Molecule: non-coding RNA, 395 nt
Filed under: Triticum aestivum (bread wheat)
Lineage: Eukaryota; Viridiplantae; Streptophyta; Magnoliopsida; Poales; Poaceae
Description: Bacterial small subunit ribosomal RNA
Rfam family: Bacterial small subunit ribosomal RNA
Source: Rfam by way of RNAcentral
UGAUGGGCUAUGCUUUUGGCCAAGAGUUUUUUUUGCUCAAAGUGGUGGGUUUGAGCUGCCUCAAAUUUUUGCGAAUAUGAAAGCUCAGGUUCCGCCAUAGGCGGUUGCACCUGCUCCACGGGCGGCUGCGCCUAAAUGAGUUAAGGCGAUGAUCAAUAGCUGGUCCGAGAGGAUGAUCAUCCACACUGGGACAGAGACACGGCUCAAAACUCCUGCGCGAGGCAGCAGUGGGGAAUUUUCUGCAAUGGGCAAAAGCCUGACGGAUCAAUUCCAUGUGGAGGUGGAAGUCCUACAGGUCAUCAAUUUUUUUUCUUGGAGAAGAAACAAUGACGAUAUCUGAGGAAUAAGCAUUGGCUAACUCUGUAUCGAUAACCCACAAGUAUAGGGGAUAGCAA